Molecule: ribosomal RNA, 405 nt
Filed under: Pteronarcys sachalina
Lineage: Eukaryota; Metazoa; Arthropoda; Insecta; Plecoptera; Pteronarcyidae
Description: partial 12S ribosomal RNA
Rfam family: Microsporidia small subunit ribosomal RNA (bases 51-405)
Source: RNAcentral
UAAACUACGAUUAGAUACCCUAUUAUUUUAAACGUUAAAUAUAAAUACUUGAGUAGUAAUAGUUAUGUUCUUGAAACUCAAAGAAUUUGGCGGUGUUUUAGUCCUUUCAGAGGAACCUGUCCCGUAAUCGAUAGCCCACGUUAGACCUUACUUAAUUUUGUGAUCAGCUUGUAUACCGCCGUCGUCAGAAUGUCCUUAGAGGGAGUAAAUUUUCUUGAAUUUUAAUUAGAAAUGAUGUCAGGUCAAGGUGCAGUUAAUAAUUAAGUGGUGAUGGGUUACAAUAAAUUUAUUUAUUAUGGAUAAUAACUUGCAAUAGUUGUUUGAAGGUGGAUUUGAUGGUAAUUAUAUUAAGUUUAUUUAAUUGAUUUUGGCUCUAAAACAUGCACACAUCGCCCGUCGCUCUUA